UCCUCCAAGGCUAAAUACUCCUGACUGACCGAUAGUGAACCAGUACCGUGAGGGAAAGGCGAAAAGAACCCCGGCGAGGGGAGUGAAAAAGAACCUGAAACCGUGUACGUACAAGCAGUGGGAGCCCCACCACUAAGCCAGUGGUGAACUCCACAUCCGCAUCCUUUGCUGAGGAUACGGUUAACGGAGCGAAAGCGACGUUCAACCGCAAAACAAGCAGAGGGGGCUUAGUGGUGGGGUGACUGCGUACCUUUUGUAUAAUGGGUCAGCGACUUAUAUUCUGUAGCAAGGUUAACCGAAUAGGGGAGCCGGAGGGAAACCGAGUCUUAAUUGGGCGUUAAGUUGCAGGGUAUAGACCCGAAACCCGGUGAUCUAGCCAUGGGCAGGUUGAAGGUUGGGUAACACUAACUGGAGGACCGAACCGACUAAUGUUGAAAAAUUAGCGGAUGACCUGUGGCUGGGGGUGAAAGGCCAAUCAAACCGGGAGAUAGCUGGUUCUCCCCGAAAGCUAUUUAGGUAGCGCCUCGUGAAUUCAUCUCCGGGGGUAGAGCACUGUUUCGGCUAGGGGGCCAUCCCGGCUUACCAACCCGAUGCAAACUGCGAAUACCGGAGAAUGUUAUCACGGGAGACACACGGCGGGUGCUAACGUCCGUCGUGAAGAGGGAAACAACCCAGACCGCCAGCUAAGGUCCCAAAGUCAUGGUUAAGUGGGAAACGAUGUGGGAAGGCCCAGACAGCCAGGAUGUUGGCUUAGAAGCAGCCAUCAUUUAAAGAAAGCGUAAUAGCUCACUGGUCGAGUCGGCCUGCGCGGAAGAUGUAACGGGGCUAAACCAUGCACCGAAGCUGCGGCAGCGAACGUAUCACCCAAGACAACUUUACGGAGUUGACGAUUGACGGAGCGAAGCGACGUCAAAGCGUUCAUUAAAGUCGAGUUGGCUUAGGGAUACGUUCGUUGGGUAGGGGAGCGUUCUGUAAGCCUGUGAAGGUGUGUCGUGAGGCAUGCUGGAGGUAUCAGAAGUGCGAAUGCUGACAUAAGUAACGAUAAAGCGGGUGAAAAGCCCGCUCGCCGGAAGACCAAGGGUUCCUGUCCAACGUUAAUCGGGGCAGGGUGAGUCGACCCCUAAGGCGAGGCCGAAAGGCGUAGUCGAUGGGAAACGGGUUAAUAUUCCCGUACUUGGUGUUACUGCGAAGGGGGGACGGAGAAGGCUAUGUUGGCCGGGCGACGGUUGUCCCGGUUUAAGCGUGUAGGUGUGUGUUCCAGGUAAAUCCGGUU
This 1273-nucleotide ribosomal RNA is filed under the name Salmonella enterica subsp. enterica serovar Typhimurium. Its description in RNAcentral is "partial 23S ribosomal RNA". It matches the Rfam family "Bacterial large subunit ribosomal RNA", at positions 456 to 1547 of the family's 2925-position model. The record is from RNAcentral. Lineage: Bacteria; Pseudomonadati; Pseudomonadota; Gammaproteobacteria; Enterobacterales; Enterobacteriaceae.